This 425-nucleotide ribosomal RNA is filed under the name uncultured bacterium. Its description in RNAcentral is "partial 16S ribosomal RNA". It matches the Rfam family "Bacterial small subunit ribosomal RNA", at positions 354 to 796 of the family's 1533-position model. The record is from RNAcentral.
GUUAGGAAUAUUGGACAAUGGGCGAAAGCCUGAUCCAGCCAUGCCGCGUGAACGAUGAAGGCCUUCGGGUUGUAAAGUUCUUUAGCCGAUGAUUAUAAUGACUGUAGUCGGAAAAUAAGCCCCGGCUAACUUCGUGCCAGCAGCCGCGGUAAUACGAAGGGGGCGAGCGUUAUUCGGAAUCACUGGGCGUAAAGCGUGCGUAGACGGUUUUGUAAGUUAGGAGUGAAAGCCCAGGGCUCAACCUUGGAAUUGCUCUUAAAACUGCAAGGCUCGAAUCUCGGAGAGGAUAGCGGAAUUUCCAGUGUAGCAGUGAAAUGCGUAGAUAUUGGAAGGAACACCAGUGGCGUAAGCGGCUAUCUGGACGAGUAUUGACGCUGAGGCACGAAAGCGUGGGGAUCAAACAGGAUUAGAUACCCGAGUAGUCC